This is a long non-coding RNA of Gossypium arboreum, 278 nucleotides long. RefSeq lists it as uncharacterized. The record is from RefSeq and is a predicted model, not a curated record. The transcript has 2 exons. NCBI's taxonomy places the organism in Eukaryota, Viridiplantae, Streptophyta, Magnoliopsida, Malvales, Malvaceae.
UGAGGUAAAUCGAUUAAUGUUUUUGGUAAGCUGCAAUGUUUGGACUGCAAAGUGAAUGAUUUUUGUGCCCUCGAUAUUUUUGGGCUUAAUGGGCUAAAAUUGGAAUGAUGGGCCAACGGGUCCAAUUCGGAAAUCCCCAACCAUAGUGGGCUUGGAGCUGUGAGGGAAUUCGGAGUGGCCACCCGUUCUGAAAGUUUGAUUUUCUUCUGGUGAACUAGACAUCCUUUUAUUUACAUUUGAAGUUUUGGGUUUUUAAAUGUAAUAAGGCCGCUUAAUUA